Molecule: non-coding RNA, 115 nt
Organism: Triticum urartu
Lineage: Eukaryota; Viridiplantae; Streptophyta; Magnoliopsida; Poales; Poaceae
Source: Rfam
CAAGUACUCCCUCCGUCCGGAAUUACUUGUCAUCAAAAUGGAUGUGUCUAGAACUAAAAUACAUCUAGAUACAUGCAUUUCAAUAACAAGUAUUUUCAGGCGGAGGGAGUACAAG